Molecule: transfer RNA, 73 nt
Organism: Ovis aries (sheep)
Lineage: Eukaryota; Metazoa; Chordata; Mammalia; Artiodactyla; Bovidae
Rfam family: tRNA
About the family: Transfer RNA (tRNA) molecules are approximately 80 nucleotides in length. Their secondary structure includes four short double-helical elements and three loops (D, anti-codon, and T loops).
Source: Rfam
UCCCUGGUGGUCCAGCUGCUAAGACUCUGUGCUCUCAAUGCAAGGAGCCUGGGUUCAAUCCCUGGUCAGGGAA